This is a small nucleolar RNA of Eutrema salsugineum, 107 nucleotides long. It matches the Rfam family "Small nucleolar RNA snoR100". NCBI's taxonomy places the organism in Eukaryota, Viridiplantae, Streptophyta, Magnoliopsida, Brassicales, Brassicaceae. The record is from Rfam.
GAAUGAAGUUAGCAUGGUACUGUGCACGUAAACUGAGCUAAAGCGGAUUGACAUGUCUGCCCUCUUUGAGUUUCUUUGAUUUGAGGGCCUGGUUGAGAUCCACAUUA